GGUUUUAUGCUUACUCUGGAUAACACUGCUUAUCGCACGACCUCGUGUCGGCGAAGUUACAUUCAAGUAUCUGCCUUAUCAACUUUCGAUGGUAGUGUAUUGGACUGCCAUGGUGUUGACGGGUAACGGAGAAUCAGGGUUCGACUCCGGAGAGGGAGCCUUAGAAACGGCUACCAUGUCUAAGGACAGCAGCAGGCGCGCAACUUAUCCACUGUUCAUUGAACGAGAUAGUGACGAGAAAUAACAAGUCCGUUCUCUAUGAGGUCGGACAUUGGAAUGGAUGGAAUCUAAACAAUUCCAUGAGUACCCACGAGAGGGCAAGUCUGGUGCCAGCAGCCGCGGUAAUUCCAGCUCUCGUAAUGUAUAGAAUUAUUGUUGCGGUUAAAAAGUUCGUAGUUGGAUUUUCGACUGUUUCGGGGUCGUCCUUAACGGGACGUACUCCGGGCAGUGUUUGCAUCCGACUUGUGAGCAAUUGCAAGUUGAAUGCGGAUUACUUUGAACGGCUUAAGUGCUCAAGGCGAGUCUUCGGACUGAAUACCGGUGCAUGGAAUAAUGGAACAAGGUUUCGGCCGAGUUUUAUUGGUUUUGUCGGCUAAAACAAUGGUUAACAGGAACAGCUGGGGGCACUCGUAUCGCGGUGCGAGAGGUGAAAUUCGUGGACCACCGCGAGACGCCCUAAAGCGAAGGCAUUUGCCAAGAGUGUUUUCAUUAAUCAAGAACGAAAGUCAGAGGUUCGAAGGCGAUUAGAUACCGCCCUAGUUCUGACG
RNAcentral lists this ribosomal RNA (767 nucleotides) under Aphelenchoides limberi. RNAcentral describes it as "SSU rRNA". It matches the Rfam family "Eukaryotic small subunit ribosomal RNA", at positions 237 to 1031 of the family's 1831-position model. Lineage: Eukaryota; Metazoa; Nematoda; Chromadorea; Rhabditida; Aphelenchoididae. The record is from RNAcentral.